UUCAGUCUCCACAGUUCCCUCUCUGGAUGUGGAUGGCACUUUUCAUCCCAAGUUGUAGUUGUUAUUUGUUGUGUUGAAAUUGCCUUGGAUCUCCUCAUUGUUGAAAAGAGGUAAGUCCAUCACACUUGAUCAUGAGAUUUCGUCUUAGAACAAAAAUCUAUUUUAUUGAGUAUAAAAAUUGAACCUAUUCUUUAAUUCAAAAUUUAAAAAUCUUUUUAAAGAAACAUUGAUUUUCCCCCAUAUUCCUUUUCCUUCCCAAUUUAGAAAAUAAAAAAGGAAAAAAAAAAACUUUGUAACAUAUUGUCGAAGAAAACAAAUUGUCCUAUAUGCUAUGUCCAAAAAGAAAUCUAUGUCUUAUUUUGCAUUAAAUCCAUCACAUCUUUAUGAGAAGUAGUUUCUUAUCAUUUCUCUGAAAUCAAGGAAGGUGGAUGAGGUGAGGAGAGGGCAGAACACAUUCUUAGCUUUCCAAACUUUUUCCUUACCUCCCAUCCUGCAUCCCCACCUGCCUAUUAGGUAUCUUGAAAUGGAUAGCCUAUGGAUAAAUCAACAUAAUGGAAACUCGAUUCUAUCUUCCCUGUCCUACGACUUUACUUAAGCAACUAAAAUCUCAUCUAUGGUCUCUUCACUCCAGUGCUGCUACCACCCGGGGGUCCAGGCACCCCUCCCCUCAUAUUUGGAUCAUCCCAGGUCCCUGCGCCGCUCUCAAGUAUCUGCCCACGCCAGACCAUAACUCAGACAUAAACGUCUUUCUAAAUCCUCUCACACCUCCCUCUACCCCACAACUUCCCGUGGGUUCCUAUUACCUCAAGAAUCAAAUAUGGGAUCCUGUUUGGCUCUUAACCCCUUCACAACUUGACCUUUUCCUAUAGAUCCUCCUUCUAUUGUCCACCACCCCAGCUCCUUACUUCUCCCUUCAUUCUGCAGUUUAGCGACCCUGCGGGGGAGGGGUGGCGCUGGGGUGGCGCUGGGGUGGAGGGGGGAGGGGAGCCCCCCCCCCUUCUUAUGUAGGACAAGCCAUUUCCUGGCCCCAGCACUUUCCUCCGGCUGUCCCUCAUGCCUGGCACACUCUCCGUCUUUAUUGCCAUCUGCUUGCUUGCUUUUAGUCCCAUCUUUUAUAGGAAGUCUUUUUUGAUCCUCCUAAAUGUCCUCCCUCUGUACUUAUCUUAAAUUUAUGCUGUCUAUACUUCGUUUUUAAGUGGUUGUUUGCACUCGUUUCCCCCAUCAGACUGUGAACUCCUGAAGGCUCUUUGUAUGCUCAGCAUUUAGUACAGUGUCUGGCACAUAGUAGGUGCAUUAUAAAUACGAGGAGGUUCGAUUUGAUUUUUCUGCAGGAAGCAGAACUCUGUGAACUGUUAUUCUGGGCAGAAAUGCGUACUGUACUUUGAAGGUGGAGACGACUCCUGUGAAUUAUUAGUGCAGGUCAGGAUGGGGAUAGGGUGGGGUGAAAACAAGAGGAGGGAGGAAAAACCAGGCCGGGGCUCGACCUUGAAGAGAGUCUCACUGCAGGAGAUGUGGUAGGAGGGCGAGAUGACGCAUGCGCAGAACUUUCCUGUGCGUCCGCUCCCCGGAUUCUCCGUAGACAGCACCUCGACCCCUUCGCGCCUGCCUCGUUCUGGGCCGAGAGGCGUCCUGUGCGCAGGCGCCGCUCUCGGAGGGAUCAUGGCGGCGGCGCUGCUGCUGUUUGUUUCGCUCCGCCGCCGGCCGGGCCGAUGGCGGCUCCAGGCUGCGGGAUCCAGCUGGAGCCUCAGGCCAGUCGCCGCCGCUGCCGCUGGGUUCGGGAACAGGCGGUUCUGCUGCUCCUCGGGCGGUCCUGCUGGGGCUGGCGGCCGAGUCCUACAGAGUUUACUUUUGAGGACAUUGUCCCCUACCUUUCAAGGAAUCAGAGGACUGCUGUUGAAACAACAUCUAAUUCAGAAUCCAGUCAGACUCUGGAAACUUUUAGGUGGUACUUCUUAUUUUAGUACCUCCAAGAUGAAGCAAAAGAAUAAGGAGAAAGAAAAAUCCAAGGAAAAAAUACCAGAAGAUGAUGAAGAGGAAAAGAAACGGAAAGAACGGGAAGAUCAGAUGUAUCGUGAACGAUUACGGACCUUAUUUGUCAUUGCUGUUAUCAUGAGCCUGCUGAACUCUCUAAACAUUAGUGUGGCUAGCAUUUCCUGGAGCGACUUUGUGAAUGAGAUGCUGGCAAAGGGGGAAGUGCAACGGGUCCAGGUGGUGCCAGAGAGCGAUGUAGUGGAAAUCUAUCUGCACCCAGGAGCUGUUGUAUUUGGCCGACCUCGGUUUACCUUGAUGUACCGGAUGCAGGUUGCGAAUAUUGACAAAUUUGAAGAGAAACUGCGAGCUGCUGAAGAUGAACUGAACAUUGAAAGCAGAGACCGGAUUCCAGUGUCCUACAAACGGACAGGCUUCUUUGGAAAUGCACUUUAUGCCCUGGGAAUGACAGCUGUAGGUGUGGCCAUAUUAUGGUGCAUUUUCCGCCUUGCUGGGAUGACAGGAAGGGAAGGAGGAUUCAGUGCUUUUAAUCAAUUGAAAAUGGCUCGCUUCACUAUUGUGGAUGGAAAGCUUGGGAAGGGGAUCAGCUUCAAAGAUGUAGCAGGAAUGCAUGAAGCCAAAUUAGAGGUCAAAGAGUUUGUGGAUUAUCUAAAGAGUCCAGAGCGUUUUCUCCAGCUUGGUGCAAAAGUCCCAAAGGGUGCUUUAUUGCUUGGGCCCCCAGGUUGUGGAAAAACUUUGUUGGCCAAGGCUGUAGCUACAGAAGCCCAAGUGCCAUUCCUGGCAAUGGCUGGUUCAGAGUUUGUGGAAGUGAUAGGAGGUCUUGGAGCUGCUCGAGUUCGAAGCCUGUUUAGAGAAGCCCAGAACCGGGCCCCUUGUAUUGUGUACAUUGAUGAAAUUGAUGCUGUGGGCAAAAAACGAUCUACAACCAUGUCGGGAUUCUCCAACACAGAGGAAGAACAGACUUUAAACCAGCUUCUGGUUGAAAUGGAUGGAAUGGGAACUACAGAUCACGUCAUAGUGUUGGCGUCUACCAAUCGAGCUGAUAUUUUGGAUAAUGCGUUAAUGAGACCAGGGAGACUUGACCGACAUAUUUUUAUUGAUCUCCCUACAUUACAGGAAAGAAGGGAAAUAUUUGAACAGCAUCUGAAGAGUCUGAAGCUGACCCAGACUGGUAGUUUUUAUUCCCAACGCCUUGCAGAGCUCACGCCUGGGUUUAGCGGAGCUGACAUUGCAAAUAUAUGUAAUGAAGCUGCUCUACAUGCUGCAAGAGAAGGACACAAAUCAAUUGAUACAUUUAAUUUUGAAUAUGCUGUGGAGCGAGUAAUUGCAGGCACUGCCAAAAAAAGCAAGAUUCUGUCCAAAGAGGAGCUAAGGAUUGUGGCUUUUCACGAGUCAGGCCAUGCUUUGGUUGGCUGGCUGCUGGAGCACACAGAGGCAGUGAUGAAGGUAUCCAUAGCACCAAGGACAAAUGCUGCCCUAGGAUUUUCUCAGAUCCUCCCCAAAGACCAGUAUCUCUUUACUAAGGAGCAGCUAUUUGAACGGAUGUGCAUGGCUUUGGGAGGCCGAGUGUCUGAAGCCAUUUCUUUUAAUAAGGUUACAUCAGGAAGCAAAACAGCUGGUCGCUAAAGCAUACAGGCACACAGAGAAAGUACUGCUUGAAAACCAAGCCAAAUUGCAUUCGCUGGCUGACGCUUUGUUGGAGAAGGAAGUGAUAAACUAUGAGGACAUCGAGGCCUUGAUCGGACCGCCUCCCCAUGGGCCCAAAAAGAUGAUCACCCCG
Molecule: RNA transcript, 3769 nt
Organism: Antechinus flavipes (yellow-footed antechinus)
Lineage: Eukaryota; Metazoa; Chordata; Mammalia; Dasyuromorphia; Dasyuridae
Gene: SPG7
Gene name: SPG7 matrix AAA peptidase subunit, paraplegin
Exons: 16
Source: RefSeq, a predicted model, not a curated record